AGUUAAUGGGUUACCUGUGUAAUAAACCAGUUCAUCCCAGCCAGGUUUAUGCCACGCUGCAUUCCUUAUAUCUUCCCUGGUUUGCAGGUCUUUGUAAGCUGGGAAAACAAGCAAAAAGUGAUUCCUUUCCCUCCUGAACAGGAAGAGAUUCCUUAAAAGAAUUCCAAGGAGGAAUUGGGAAAAGCAGGAAGGAAAAAAAAAAAAAUCAGGACUUCUCUGGCAGAAGGAAAAGCUCAAAAAGGAGGAGCUGGGGAAGACAGAAAAUACCAGGGCACAGAGGAGAAAGCUGAAAUGGCAAAUUCUGUUAUGCAGGGGGAAGGUGGCUGCACCCCCAUGGAGAAUUAAGGAAGAGGCAGGAGGGAAGUUCAGAGAGGCUUUAUUUUGUUUAUUACUUUAUUCAAGUUUGUCUCCUUGCCUGAAAUGCUUCAAUUUGCUCAGGAAAGAAAGAAUCAAUCCAACCACAGAUAUUUCAUCUGACUGCUGUCAGCAGUUUCUUUCUUUGCUGUUUGUCUCUUUCCUUGCAAAGAGAAAUCUCUGCUCUCACUCAACAUUCAGGCAGCUCAUGAAAUUCUGCAGAGAAGUGAUUCCCUGGCUUGCAUCAUUGGACAUGUUUAUAUUCAGCUUUUAAACAGCAAGCUGGCUGAAUGCUAAUUGUCCUUUAGUGUGUGUCUAUUUUUAAACAAAAAAAAAGCUAAAAAUACCUUGAUUGAAUGUUAUUCUAGUGGCUUUUUAUGCUUCUACAGCAGGGAGAACAGUUCUGGGUUAUCCAGACUAACACAGAGGUGAGAGAUGAGCUGAGGACAUGAACUGGGAGCUGGGAUUUCCUCCCCUCCCUGCAGCCCAGCUGCUGUGCUCACACCUCAAAGUUGGUUGCAGGAAGGUGUCAUUAUUGUCACUAUUGUCAUUGUGCUGAGAAUGUUUGUAUUGGCAGUGAGAAAAGCACUGCUGGCUGCCAGGCUCAGCCCCAGAUUUAAACACACAGCUCUUUCAGGGCUCCAGAGGGGAAAUUGUGGAGGCAGAAAGGAGUAAUAGUUCUGCAGUUUUAUUCUUAAAGCAAAAUGUCAGUAAUUCCUAAAGCUGUAGCUGUUUGGGAAAGCUGUCUCAGUACUGCUCCCUCUGGAGGGAAUCACCCCAAAGCACAAACCCCAUCCAAGGGUUUCUGUAACUCCUUGAGCUCAGCAGCAGGAUUUGUGCAGAGGGAUAAAAAUGAGCUGACAGGAAAUCAACCCCUGAGUUUCAACAUCUGAGUUUAACAUUGGUAAAGUUUUAUUUAACACUGGUCUCUCUUUCCUUCCAGUGUGCACACAAACCCCAGCUGCAGUGGGAAUGCCAAAACUCCACCCCUCCCUGCAGGGAUCAGAACUUUAACAUCACUCAGGGUAGGGGGGAGCUGCUCCAGGAAAUGUCACCAGAGCUCUCAGGACAGGAAUCACCCUCAACUACAGCUCAGGAAAUGGCAAUGCCAAGAGAGAGGUUUGCACACAGAUGCACUCACUGUGUGAGCCUUCUGCCAGGCUCUGAGAACUCUCUCCAAAUCCAUUUCCCACAUUUCCCCCUCUCUCUUGAUAAGAAAAAAACUUUUUGGAUGGCUUUGUUCAUCAUUUGCUGUGUGACGUACACAAGGUAUUAACAUUGCACUGUAACAAUUAAUGUAUAUAAAAUAUUCAGUGAAACUUUAAAAAUUCUCUACAAAUCCAUUCCCACAAUGCCCAUUAUCCAUGGUUAUUCCCUGUGUAAUGUCUGUUUCUUCUGCUAUUUCUCCUCUUUUUAACCCACUGCCUUUGCCCAGGGCUGGGUCUGGCCUGGUGUAAACAGUCAGGAGUGAAAAAGAGCAAAAAAGGUGCAGAAGGAAAAGUGCAGAGUGUAAAAGGGAAAGGAACUGCCAUAUGUUCCUGUGCUGCUUAAAGACAGCUCUACAAAAGGGGAAGGGAAAUGCCUUUCAAGAGGAAAAACAGCAUGAAAGGCUAAUUUGGGGAAAAGAUGGGUGGUAGGAAACAACCAGCCAGGAAAUAUUUCAAUUCCAGAUUCCAGCAACAUUUAGGGACACAGAGCCAGGCUCUCUGCACAACAUCCAAGUUUCCUUGCCUCAAAAGACAAAAUUUUCACUCUCUUUUCUUAUCUAAUCUUUAUUCAGCUUCUCCAAGUACACUUUCAGAAUAGUGGCACCUCCUUUACAUCAGAGCACACAGACCAAGAGAUAACUGUGCUGUUUAAAGUGAUGUGUGAAAGGAAUUAUUCCUCUUUUCCAGAUGAGCAGGACAAGGCAUCUGAUGCAUUUCACUGAUCCUCUACAAUGUCUGAGAAGCUCAAAUGGUUUUGCUUCUUUCUCUUCCUUCCAUUUGCCUUAUUUUGACAGCCUCAUAGUAGCCACAGUGAAGAAAAUUAAUUCUGUCACAAGUUUCUCCUGAAAUACUAAAAUAUUAAAUGUGGUAUUUAUAUUUACAACA
This is a long non-coding RNA of Melospiza melodia melodia, 2447 nucleotides long. RefSeq lists it as uncharacterized. NCBI's taxonomy places the organism in Eukaryota, Metazoa, Chordata, Aves, Passeriformes, Passerellidae. The transcript is spliced from 4 exons. The record is from RefSeq and is a predicted model, not a curated record.